CGCUCCGGUUCAACUCCGUUGUUUUGAAGACUGGAGACCGGGCGACUGGCGUAGUGACAGUGACGCUAAAUCUUGGCGAUUUAAAGUUUUGAAUGGCAUUGCAACUUUAUGGUGUAUAGGGCGCUGGCGGUAAGGCGUAAUAUGCU
Hyposmocoma kahamanoa is the source of this 146-nucleotide long non-coding RNA. RefSeq lists it as uncharacterized. The record is from RefSeq and is a predicted model, not a curated record. Lineage: Eukaryota; Metazoa; Arthropoda; Insecta; Lepidoptera; Cosmopterigidae. The transcript is spliced from 3 exons.